CCAGCUGGCCGGAUGGCCGCCGCCUUUGCGCGGAGGAAAGUCCGGGCUCCACGGAGACACGGUGCCGGAUAACAUCCGGCGGGGGCAACCCCAGGGAAAGUGCCACAGAAAGCAAACCGCCGCAAGGUAAGGGUGAAAGGGUGCGGUAAGAGCGCACCGCGCCCAUGGUAACAUGAGCGGCACGGCAAGCCCCACCGGGAGCAAGACCGAAUAGGGCAACGCAAGGCUUUCUCUCCAGGGAGAAGCCUGAGAUCCGUCUCCGGAUCGUUGCCGGGUUGGUUGCUCGAGCCGGAGGGUAACUUCCGGCCCAGAGGAAUGGCCAUCACGCGCGAGUCGCGCCCCACAGAACCCGGCUUAUAGGCCGGCUGGCACU
This 373-nucleotide RNase P RNA is filed under the name Methylocapsa sp. Its description in RNAcentral is "RNase P RNA component class A". It matches the Rfam family "Bacterial RNase P class A". Rfam says of the family: Ribonuclease P (RNase P) is a ubiquitous endoribonuclease, found in archaea, bacteria and eukarya as well as chloroplasts and mitochondria. The record is from RNAcentral. Lineage: Bacteria; Pseudomonadati; Pseudomonadota; Alphaproteobacteria; Hyphomicrobiales; Beijerinckiaceae.